RNAcentral lists this ribosomal RNA (313 nucleotides) under marine gamma proteobacterium LHAT1A. RNAcentral's name for it is "partial 16S ribosomal RNA". The record is from RNAcentral. Lineage: Bacteria; Pseudomonadati; Pseudomonadota; Gammaproteobacteria.
GUUACCUUGUUACGACUUCACCCCAGUCAUGAACCACAAAGUGGUGAGCGUCCUCCCCGAAAGGUUAAACUACCCACUUCUUUUGCAGCCCACUCCCAUGGUGUGACGGGCGGUGUGUACAAGGCCCGGGAACGUAUUCACCGUAGCAUUCUGAUCUACGAUUACUAGCGAUUCCGACUUCAUGGAGUCGAGUUGCAGACUCCAAUCCGGACUACGACGCACUUUUUGGGAUUCGCUCACUCUCGCAAGUUCGCCGCCCUCUGUAUGCGCCAUUGUAGCACGUGUCUUGCCCUACUCGUAAGGGGCAUGAUGA